RNAcentral lists this ribosomal RNA (2939 nucleotides) under Priestia megaterium. Its description in RNAcentral is "23S ribosomal RNA". It matches the Rfam family "Bacterial large subunit ribosomal RNA". The record is from RNAcentral. Lineage: Bacteria; Bacillati; Bacillota; Bacilli; Caryophanales; Bacillaceae.
AUGGUUAAGUUAGAAAGGGCGCACGGUGAAUGCCUUGGCACUAGGAGCCGAUGAAGGACGGGACUAACACCGAUAUGCUUCGGGGAGCUGUAAGUGAGCUUUGAUCCGGAGAUUUCCGAAUGGGGAAACCCACUGUUCGUAAUGGAACAGUAUCUUUAUCUGAAUACAUAGGAUAUUGAAGGCAGACCCGGGGAACUGAAACAUCUAAGUACCCGGAGGAAGAGAAAGCAAAUGCGAUUUCCUGAGUAGCGGCGAGCGAAACGGAAUUAGCCCAAACCAAGAGGCUUGCCUCUUGGGGUUGUAGGACACUCUAUACGGAGUUACAAAGGAACGAAGUAAAUGAAGCGACCUGGAAAGGUCCGUCAAAGAAGGUAACAACCCUGUAGUUGAAACUUCGUUCCCUCUUGAGUGGAUCCUGAGUACGGCGGAACACGUGAAAUUCCGUCGGAAGCUGGGAGGACCAUCUCCCAAGGCUAAAUACUACCUAGUGACCGAUAGUGAACCAGUACCGUGAGGGAAAGGUGAAAAGCACCCCGGAAGGGGGAGUGAAAGAGAUCCUGAAACCGUGUGCCUACAAGUAGUCAGAGCCCGUUAAUGGGUGAUGGCGUGCCUUUGUAGAAUGAACCGGCGAGUUACGAUCCCAUGCAAGGUUAAGCUGAUAAGGCGGAGCCGUAGCGAAAGCGAGUCUGAAUAGGGCGUUUAGUAUGUGGUUGUAGACCCGAAACCAGGUGAUCUACCCAUGUCCAGGGUGAAGUUCAGGUAACACUGAAUGGAGGCCCGAACCCACGCACGUUGAAAAGUGCGGGGAUGAGGUGUGGGUAGCGGAGAAAUUCCAAUCGAACCUGGAGAUAGCUGGUUCUCUCCGAAAUAGCUUUAGGGCUAGCCUCAUGUUGUGAGAGUCUUGGAGGUAGAGCACUGAUUGGACUAGGGGCCCCCAACGGGUUACCGAAUUCAGUCAAACUCCGAAUGCCAAAGACUUAUCCAUGGGAGUCAGACUGCGAGUGAUAAGAUCCGUAGUCAAAAGGGAAACAGCCCAGACCACCAGCUAAGGUCCCCAAGUAUACGUUAAGUGGAAAAGGAUGUGGAGUUGCUUAGACAACCAGGAUGUUGGCUUAGAAGCAGCCACCAUUUAAAGAGUGCGUAAUAGCUCACUGGUCGAGUGACUCUGCGCCGAAAAUGUACCGGGGCUAAACGUAUCACCGAAGCUGUGGAUUGACAUCUUUGAUGUCAGUGGUAGGAGAGCGUUCUAAGUGCUGUGAAGUCAGACCGUAAGGACUGGUGGAGCGCUUAGAAGUGAGAAUGCCGGUAUGAGUAGCGAAAGACAAGUGAGAAUCUUGUCCACCGAAUGCCUAAGGUUUCCUGAGGAAGGCUCGUCCGCUCAGGGUUAGUCGGGACCUAAGCCGAGGCUGAAAAGCGUAGGCGAUGGCCAACAGGUUGAUAUUCCUGUACCACCUCCCCGCCGUUUGAGUAAUGGGGGGACGCAGUAGGAUAGGGUAAGCGCGCUGCUGGAUAUGCGCGUUCAAGCAGUUAGGCUGAUGAGUAGGCAAAUCCGCUCAUCAUAAAGGCUGAGCUGUGAUGACGAGGGAAUUAUAGUACCGAAGUUCCUGAUUCCACACUGCCAAGAAAAGCCUCUAGCGAGGCGGGAGGUGCCCGUACCGCAAACCGACACAGGUAGGCGAGGAGAGAAUCCUAAGGUGAUCGAGAGAACUCUCGUUAAGGAACUCGGCAAAAUGACCCCGUAACUUCGGGAGAAGGGGUGCUCUGGUAGGGUGUAUAGCCCGAGAGAGCCGCAGUGAAUAGGCCCAGGCGACUGUUUAGCAAAAACACAGGUCUCUGCGAAGCCGCAAGGCGAAGUAUAGGGGCUGACGCCUGCCCGGUGCUGGAAGGUUAAGAGGAGGGGUUAUCCUUUGGGAGAAGCUCUGAAUCGAAGCCCCAGUAAACGGCGGCCGUAACUAUAACGGUCCUAAGGUAGCGAAAUUCCUUGUCGGGUAAGUUCCGACCCGCACGAAAGGCGUAACGAUCUGGGCACUGUCUCAACGAGAGACUCGGUGAAAUUAUAGUACCUGUGAAGAUGCAGGUUACCCGCGACAGGACGGAAAGACCCCGUGGAGCUUUACUGUAGCCUGAUAUUGAAUUUUGGUACAGCUUGUACAGGAUAGGUAGGAGCCUGAGAAGCCGGAGCGCUAGCUUCGGUGGAGGCGUCGGUGGGAUACUACCCUGGCUGUAUUGAAAUUCUAACCCGCGGCCCUGAUCGGGCCGGGAGACAGUGUCAGGUGGGCAGUUUGACUGGGGCGGUCGCCUCCUAAAAUGUAACGGAGGCGCCCAAAGGUUCCCUCAGAAUGGUUGGAAAUCAUUCGUAGAGUGUAAAGGCACAAGGGAGCUUGACUGCGAGACCUACAAGUCGAGCAGGGACGAAAGUCGGGCUUAGUGAUCCGGUGGUUCCGCAUGGAAGGGCCAUCGCUCAACGGAUAAAAGCUACCCCGGGGAUAACAGGCUUAUCUCCCCCAAGAGUCCACAUCGACGGGGAGGUUUGGCACCUCGAUGUCGGCUCAUCGCAUCCUGGGGCUGUAGUCGGUCCCAAGGGUUGGGCUGUUCGCCCAUUAAAGCGGUACGCGAGCUGGGUUCAGAACGUCGUGAGACAGUUCGGUCCCUAUCCGUCGUGGGCGUAGGAAAUUUGAGAGGAGCUGUCCUUAGUACGAGAGGACCGGGAUGGACACACCGCUGGUGUACCAGUUGUCUUGCCAAAGGCAUCGCUGGGUAGCUAUGUGUGGACGGGAUAAGUGCUGAAAGCAUCUAAGCAUGAAGCCCCCCUCAAGAUGAGAUUUCCCAUAGCGCAAGCUAGUAAGAUCCCUGAAAGAUGAUCAGGUUGAUAGGUCAGAGGUGGAAGCAUGGCGACAUGUGUAGCUGACUGAUACUAAUCGAUCGAGGACUUAACCAAA